UCGUCGAGGAGCGUCGGGGAGAUGAGGUGGACGUGGCAGUCGAUGGCGCCGGCGGUGAGGAUCCGGCCGUUGCCGGCGAGGAUCUCGGUCGACGGGCCGAUCACGAGCGCCGGGUCGACGCCGUCCAUCGUGUCGGGGUUGCCGGCCUUGCCGAUGCCGACGAUUCGACCGUUCUUCACGCCGACGUCGGCCUUGACGACGCCCCAGUGAUCGAGGAUGACCGCGCCGGUGAUGACCAGAUCGGGCGCGCCGUCGGCGCUGGUGCGCGUCGACUGCCCCAUCGAUUCACGGAUGA
Molecule: small RNA, 295 nt
Filed under: Ilumatobacter coccineus YM16-304
Lineage: Bacteria; Bacillati; Actinomycetota; Acidimicrobiia; Acidimicrobiales; Ilumatobacteraceae
Description: 5' ureB small RNA
Rfam family: 5' ureB small RNA
Source: Rfam by way of RNAcentral